AGAGUGGUUUCGACCGUUGAAGGUUAUCACUCGGUUCUAGUUUCACAGCGACACGGUCUUCUAAUCUCGGGGGCACAAGGGUCGGAAGCAGUUUAUGGCAAACUGAAGUUCGCAUUAACUAUGUGAGGCGGACAACCCAACUUGCUCGCAACACCGCAUUGUUGGCAAAGAAUUCGUCAGAGAUGAUGAGUAGGAUUUGAUUUGGAACUUCCAACGCUUAGUGGCCUGCAAACUCAAAAUACGAUGGUUAAUUUGGACAGCUUUCAGCUCCUGCUACUGCAUGGCAUAACAUGGUACCCCUGCUCGGUGCGGCUCUCUGCAGACGUUGAAGAAAACGAGAGCUCCCCCGCAAGUUCAACACCCGCUAGACUCUCUACCUCAACACCCUCCACACGGUCAGAAACAGCGCCAUACCCUUCAUACGAGGUGGUGCGUGAUGUCAGUGACUUUCUCUUUGAACUAAAUUCGACAAUCAUUUAAUCACCGACACUCUUUAAAUAAAUAGUUCGUUAAGUUAUUAGUUUUGAAACUUCAAAAGUGAGCUGCUAAAAAUGCAUUUCAAUUCCUGUCUGCCACGUUAAUAACAUAGACAAUGAAGGCAGCAAGAUACAGUUUUAAAUGUGUUUUUCCUGGUAUUUCUGACAAUUGUAAAAAUCCAACUCAUAAUUUAAAUUGUUACAUUUUGCCAAAAACUGCAGAAGUUAAGCUUCAAACUCACGUAUCUUGCAUCCUCCCAUGCUGAUACUUGCAAAAGAACCCACAUGCACUGUCACCGAGUGGUUUACAUCUUCCUACCUGAUCAGGUAAGGGUUUCGUAGUUCUUCUUCCCAUGUUAAUAGAAGG
Molecule: long non-coding RNA, 843 nt
Filed under: Physcomitrium patens
Lineage: Eukaryota; Viridiplantae; Streptophyta; Bryopsida; Funariales; Funariaceae
Description: long non-coding RNA (PPAT_LNC012394)
Source: RNAcentral